UUGAUUUAUUAAGCAAUUGUGUGGAAGCAUUCGUUGAAUUAGUGAUCUUCACCACUGUUGAAUAUACAGAAAAAUGGUUUAAAUUAUUUGAAAUGACUUGCAGAAAUGUUAUUUGUCUAGGAUAACAAGAAUCAAUAGUCAGUUCUUGUUGUAGAAUUGUCGGUGAAUUCGUACUUGAAUGUUUAAACUUUAAAAACAUUCGAGUACGAAUUCACCGACAAUUCUUAAACUUUACUUCAACUUAAACUUUAAACGAACCAAUUUUAAUGGACAGAUUUUUGAAAUCGACGUUGUUAAAUAAACCAAAAUAUCAUCCAACAACUUUAAGCUUUCAUGUUUAAAAGUGAUGAAAGCUUGAAGUUGAUGGAGGAUAUUUUGGUUUUGAUGUUGGUGAAUGAUGGCUCAGGCCUGUGUUGAAACAAGGCGGCGACAUUUAUCUUAUUGCUCUUGUUAAAACAAUAUCUAUAAAAAAUUUGUACGAUGAUUGUAUGCCCUCACAAUGGAUGGAGUUGUGUGAAUUCUGUAUGAAACUUCUCAACACUAAUUUAAACCUGGAUCUAUCAACAUUAGUAAAGAUCUUAAAAUUUGUUGUCCCCAA
Molecule: long non-coding RNA, 598 nt
Organism: Ctenocephalides felis (cat flea)
Lineage: Eukaryota; Metazoa; Arthropoda; Insecta; Siphonaptera; Pulicidae
Exons: 3
Source: RefSeq, a predicted model, not a curated record